CUCCUACGGGGGGCAGCAGUGAGGAAUAUUGGUCAAUGGCCGCAGGGCUGAACCAGCCAAGUCGCGUGAGGGAUGACGGUCCUAUGGAUUGUAAACCUCUUUUGUCAGGGAGCAAAUGGCGCCACGUGUGGCGCUUUGCGAGUACCUGAAGAAAAAGCAUCGGCUAACUCCGUGCCAGCAGCCGCGGUAAUACGGAGGAUGCGAGCGUUAUCCGGAUUUAUUGGGUUUAAAGGGUGCGCAGGCGGAAUGUCAAGUCAGCGGUAAAAUUUCGGGGCUCAACCCCGUCGUGCCGUUGAAACUGGCGUUCUUGAGUGAGCGAGAAGUAUGCGGAAUGCGUGGUGUAGCGGUGAAAUGCAUAGAUAUCACGCAGAACUCCGAUUGCGAAGGCAGCAUACCGGCGCUCAACUGACGCUCAUGCACGAAAGCGUGGGUAUCGAACAGGAUUAGAUACCCCAGUAGUC
This 461-nucleotide ribosomal RNA is filed under the name uncultured bacterium. RNAcentral's name for it is "bacterial SSU rRNA". It matches the Rfam family "Bacterial small subunit ribosomal RNA", at positions 336 to 795 of the family's 1533-position model. The record is from RNAcentral.